AUUCUCUCUUGGGGCACAUAUACUAAAAUUGGAAUGAUACAGAGAAGGUUGGCAUGGCCCCUAUGCAAGGAUGACAUGCAAAUUUGUGAAUCAUUCUAUACUUUU
RNAcentral lists this small nuclear RNA (105 nucleotides) under Saimiri boliviensis boliviensis (Bolivian squirrel monkey). Lineage: Eukaryota; Metazoa; Chordata; Mammalia; Primates; Cebidae. The record is from RNAcentral.